CGUAACAAGGUCUCCGUUGGUGAACCAGCGGAGGGAUCAUUACCGAGUUUACAACUCCCAAACCCCUGUGAACAUACCACUUGUUGCCUCGGCGGAUCAGCCCGCUCCCGGUAAAACGGGACGGCCCGCCAGAGGACCCCUAAACUCUGUUUCUAUAUGUAACUUCUGAGUAAAACCAUAAAUAAAUCAAAACUUUCAACAACGGAUCUCUUGGUUCUGGCAUCGAUGAAGAACGCAGCAAAAUGCGAUAAGUAAUGUGAAUUGCAGAAUUCAGUGAAUCAUCGAAUCUUUGAACGCACAUUGCGCCCGCCAGUAUUCUGGCGGGCAUGCCUGUUCGAGCGUCAUUUCAACCCUCAAGCACAGCUUGGUGUUGGGACUCGCGUUAAUUCGCGUUCCUCAAAUUGAUUGGCGGUCACGUCGAGCUUCCAUAGCGUAGUAGUAAAACCCUCGUUACUGGUAAUCGUCGCGGCCACGCCGUUAAACCCCAACUUCUGAAUGUUGACCUCGGAUCAGGUAGGAAUACCCGCUGAACUUAAGCAUAUCAAUAAGCGGAGGAAAAGAAACCAACAGGGAUUGCCCUAGUAACGGCGAGUGAAGCGGCAACAGCUCAAAUUUGAAAUCUGGCUCUCGGGCCCGAGUUGUAAUUUGUAGAGGAUACUUUUGAUGCGGUGCCUUCCGAGUUCCCUGGAACGGGACGCCAUAGAGGGUGAGAGCCCCGUCUGGUUGGAUGCCAAAUCUCUGUAAAGUUCCUUCAACGAGUCGAGUAGUUUGGGAAUGCUGCUCUAAAUGGGAGGUAUAUGUCUUCUAAAGCUAAAUACCGGCCAGAGACCGAUAGCGCACAAGUAGAGUGAUCGAAAGAUGAAAAGCACUUUGAAAAGAGAGUUAAAAAGUACGUGAAAUUGUUGAAAGGGAAGCGUUUAUGACCAGACUUGGGCUUGGUUAAUCAUCUGGGGUUCUCCCCAGUGCACUUUUCCAGUCCAGGCCAGCAUCAGUUUUCCCCGGGGGAUAAAGGCGGCGGGAAUGUGGCUCUCUUCGGGGAGUGUUAUAGCCCACCGUGUAAUACCCUGGGGGGGACUGAGGUUCGCGCAUCUGCAAGGAUGCUGGCGUAAUGGUCAUCAACGACCCGUCUUGAAACACGGACCAAGGAGUCGUCUUCGUAUGCGAGUGUUCGGGUGUCAAACCCCUACGCGUAAUGAAAGUGAACGCAGGUGAGAGCUUCGGCGCAUCAUCGACCGAUCCUGAUGUUCUCGGAUGGAUUUGAGUAAGAGCAUACGGGGCCGGACCCGAAAGAAGGUGAACUAUGCCUGUAUAGGGUGAAGCCAGAGGAAACUCUGGUGGAGGCUCGCAGCGGUUCUGACGUGCAAAUCGAUCGUCAAAUAUGGGCAUGGGGGCGAAAGACUAAUCGA
RNAcentral lists this small RNA (1406 nucleotides) under Fusarium oxysporum. Its description in RNAcentral is "eukaryotic LSU rRNA". The stretch from base 500 to 1406 matches the Rfam family "Eukaryotic large subunit ribosomal RNA", at positions 1 to 938 of the family's 3401-position model. Lineage: Eukaryota; Fungi; Ascomycota; Sordariomycetes; Hypocreales; Nectriaceae. The record is from RNAcentral.